Non-coding RNA from Odocoileus virginianus texanus, 1405 nucleotides. NCBI's taxonomy places the organism in Eukaryota, Metazoa, Chordata, Mammalia, Artiodactyla, Cervidae. The record is from RefSeq and is a predicted model, not a curated record.
UAAGUAUUUUUUCCAGAAAUUUCUUAAAUGUUUUCAAUACUUAUUUUUUAUCCAAAAUACAAAUGGAAUCUAACCAUAUAUACUGUUCUAUAACUUACUGGAUUUUUAAAACAAUCUUUUCUUGGCAUCUUUCCAUUUCAGUAGCUUUUUCUGUUCUGUAAAGUAUAAUACUGUACAGAAAGGGGAGCAUAAAUUAAAUACAUAACUUGGUGAACUUACAAAUAAAGUGUCUUCUAAUCAGCAAAGAUCAAAAAUCAAAACAUUCUCAGUGUCAUGGGCCAGCCCUACCUCAUGGAAAAAAAAAAGUACAUAUUUAAAAGUGGGUUUCUGCCCGGCCGAGGCUCCCGAGGUGCAUCAGUCCACCAGUACAUGAGUUUCUGCCGUUUCUUGGCAAAAAUGGCAACCAGUGAUGCUGUUCUGAAGAGAUUGGAGCAGAAGGGUGCAGAAGCAGAUCAAAUUAUUGAAUAUCUUAAGCAACAAGUUGCUCUUCUUAAGGAGAAAGCAAUUUUGCAGGCAACUUUGAGAGAAGAGAAGAAACUUCGAGUUGAAAAUGCUAAAUUGAAGAAGGAAAUUGAAGGAUUGAAACAAGAGCUAAUUAAGGCAGAAAUUCAAAAUGGAGUAAAACAAAUACCAUUUCCAUCUGGUACUCCACUAAAAACUGAUUCUAUGGUUUCUGAAAAUGAGAUACAGUCUAUACCAAUAACCGUAUCUUCUGGUGCUAAAGAGCAAGUAAAAGGAGGAGGAGGAGAAGAAGAAAAGAAGAUGAAAGAGAAAACUGAAAAGAAAGGAGAGAAAAAGGAGAAAAAACAGCAACCAGUAGCAGGAAGUGCUGACUCUAAGCCUGUUGAUGUUUCCCGUCUGGAUCUUCGAAUUGGUUGUAUCAUCACUGCCAGAAAACACCCUGAUGCAGAUUCUUUGUAUGUAGAAGAAGUAGAUGUUGGAGAAACAGCCCCAAGAACAGUGGUCAGUGGCCUGGUGAAUCAUGUUCCUCUUGAACAGAUGCAAAAUCGGAUGGUGGUUUUACUUUGUAACCUGAAACCUGCAAAGAUGAGGGGAGUAGUAUCUCAGGCAAUGGUGAUGUGUGCAAGUUCACCAGAGAAAGUAGAAAUCUUGGCACCUCCUAAUGGAUCUGUUCCUGGGGACAGAAUUACUUUUGAUGCUUUCCCUGGAGAGCCUGACAAGGAGCUGAAUCCUAAGAAGAAGAUUUGGGAGCAGAUCCAGCCUGAUCUUUACACUAAUGAUGUAUGCGUGGCUACAUACAAAGGCGCUCCCUUUGAGGUGAAAGGGAAGGGAGUGUGUAGGGCUCAAACUAUGGCCAACAGUGGAAUAAAAUAAAACACUUCAGUUUCUGAAAUACUUUAGAGAAAGCAAUAAAAAGAAAUACAUUUGUCACUCAUACCUAAAA